RNAcentral lists this transfer RNA (73 nucleotides) under Agrilus planipennis (emerald ash borer). It matches the Rfam family "tRNA". From Rfam's summary of the family: Transfer RNA (tRNA) molecules are approximately 80 nucleotides in length. Their secondary structure includes four short double-helical elements and three loops (D, anti-codon, and T loops). Lineage: Eukaryota; Metazoa; Arthropoda; Insecta; Coleoptera; Buprestidae. The record is from Rfam by way of RNAcentral.
UCUCUCGUAGCUUAGUGGUCAGAGCAUUGGCGCGUAAAGCCAAUGAGCCCGGGUUCGAUUCCCGGCGGGGGUG